This 74-nucleotide transfer RNA is filed under the name Candidatus Blochmannia vicinus (nom. nud.). Its description in RNAcentral is "Candidatus Blochmannia vicinus tRNA-Leu". It matches the Rfam family "tRNA". Rfam says of the family: Transfer RNA (tRNA) molecules are approximately 80 nucleotides in length. Their secondary structure includes four short double-helical elements and three loops (D, anti-codon, and T loops). Lineage: Bacteria; Pseudomonadati; Pseudomonadota; Gammaproteobacteria; Enterobacterales; Enterobacteriaceae. The record is from RNAcentral.
CGGUGAGUGGUGUAGUUUAGUAGCAAUAUGCGUUCAGGACGUAUAGGUCGGAGGUUCAAAUUCUUCCUCACCGA